CCUAUACAUGCAAGUCGAGCGAGAAGACGUAGCAAUACGUUUGUAAAGCGGCGAACGGGUGAGGAAUACAUGGGUAACCUACCCUUGAGUGGGGAAUAACUAGCCGAAAGGUUAGCUAAUACCGCGUACGCUCCUUGGACUUCGGUUCAGGGAGGAAAGCGCUGCCGAGGGCAGCGCGCUCUUGGAUGGGCUCAUGUCCUAUCAGCUUGUUGGUGAGGUAACGGCUCACCAAGGCUUCGACGGGUAGCUGGUCUGAGAGGACGAUCAGCCACACUGGCACUGCGACACGGGCCAGACUCCUACGGGAGGCAGCAGUAAGGAAUAUUGCGCAAUGGGCGAAAGCCUGACGCAGCGACGCCGCGUGGGGGAUGAAGGUCUUCGGAUUGUAAACCCCUUUCGGGAGGGAAGAUGGAAUGGGGUAACCCAUUCGGACGGUACCUCCAGAAGCAGCCACGGCUAACUUCGUGCCAGCAGCCGCGGUAAUACGAAGGUGGCAAGCGUUAUUCGGAUUUACUGGGCGUACAGGGAGCGUAGGCGGUUCGGUAAGCCCUCUGUGAAAUCUUCAGGCUUAACCUGGAAAAGUCGGAGGGGACUGCUGGGCUAGAGGACGGGAGAGGAGCGCGGAAUUCCCGGUGUAGCGGUGAAAUGCGUAGAGAUCGGGAGGAAGGCCGGUGGCGAAGGCGGCGCUCUGGAACGUUUCUGACGCUGAGGCUCGAAAGCGUGGGGAGCAAACAGGAUUAGAUACCCUGGUAGUCCACGCCUUAAACUAUGAAUACUAAGUGUCGGCGGGUUACCGCCGGUGCCGCAGCUAACGCAUUAAGUAUUCCGCCUGGGAAGUACGGCCGCAAGGUUGAAACUCAAGGAAUUGACGGGGGCCCGCACAAGCGGUGGAGCAUGUGGUUUAAUUCGACGCAACGCGAAGAACCUUACCCAGGCUGGACAUGCAGGUAGUAGAAGGGGUGAAAGCCCAACGAGGUAGCAAUACCAUCCUGCCUCAGGUGCUGCAUGGCUGUCGUCAGCUCGUGCCGUGGA
Molecule: ribosomal RNA, 1032 nt
Filed under: uncultured Nitrospira sp.
Lineage: Bacteria; Pseudomonadati; Nitrospirota; Nitrospiria; Nitrospirales; Nitrospiraceae
Description: bacterial SSU rRNA
Rfam family: Bacterial small subunit ribosomal RNA
Source: RNAcentral